GACGAACGCUGGCGGCGUGCCUAACACAUGCAAGUCGAACGGAAAGGCCCUGCUGUUGUUGGGUGCUCGAUUGGCGAACGGGUGAGUAACACGUGAGUAACCUGCCCUUGCCUUUGGGAUAACUUCUGGUAACUGGGGCUAAUACCGGCUAGGAGCUCCUGCUGCUUGGUGUGGGUUGGAAAGUUUCGGCGGUUUGGGAUGGACUCGCGGCUUAUCAGCUAUUUGGUGGGGUAGUGGCUUGCCAAGGCUUUGACGGGUAGCCGACCUGAGAGGGGGACCGGGCACAAUGGACCUGAGAUACGGCGCAGAGUGCAACGGGAGGCAGCGGGGGAAAGUAUUGCGCAGUAGGCGGAAGCCUGAUACAGCGGCGCCGCGUUCGGAAUGACGGCUUUCGGGGUAGAAACCGCUUUAGCCUGUAACGAAGAGUGAGUGACGGUAACGGAUAAAGAAGCACCGGCUAACUACGUG
RNAcentral lists this ribosomal RNA (468 nucleotides) under uncultured bacterium. RNAcentral describes it as "partial 16S ribosomal RNA". It matches the Rfam family "Bacterial small subunit ribosomal RNA", at positions 28 to 507 of the family's 1533-position model. The record is from RNAcentral.